This 450-nucleotide ribosomal RNA is filed under the name uncultured Glomeromycotina. RNAcentral describes it as "SSU rRNA". It matches the Rfam family "Eukaryotic small subunit ribosomal RNA", at positions 569 to 1025 of the family's 1831-position model. The record is from RNAcentral. Lineage: Eukaryota; Fungi; Glomeromycota.
AGCAGCCGCGGUAAUUCCAGCUCCAAUAGCGUAUAUUAAAGUUGUUGCAGUUAAAAAGCUCGUAGUUGAAUUUCGGGAUCAAGUCGUCGGUCGUGCUUAGGUACGUACUGGCGUCAUUGAUUUCUCCCUUCUGACGAACCAUGAUGUCAUUAAUUUGGUGUUAUGGGAAAUCAGGACUUUUACUUUGAAAAAAUUAGAGUGUUUAAAGCAGGCUCACGCUUGAAUACAUUAGCAUGGAAUAAUGAAAUAGGACGUUCGAUCCUAUUUUGUUGGUUUUAGGAUCAACGUAAUGAUUAAUAGGGAUAGUUGGGGGCAUUAGUAUUCAAUUGUCAGAGGUGAAAUUCUUGGAUUUAUUGAAGACUAACUACUGCGAAAGCAUUUGCCAAGGAUGUUUUCAUUAAUCAAGAACGAAAGUUAGGGGAUCGAAGACGAUCAGAUACCGUCGUAGUC